Molecule: ribosomal RNA, 253 nt
Filed under: uncultured bacterium
Lineage: Bacteria
Description: partial 16S ribosomal RNA
Rfam family: Bacterial small subunit ribosomal RNA
Source: RNAcentral
UACAGAGGGUGCAAGCGUUGUUCGGAAUUAUGGGGCGUAAAGCGCGUGUAGGCGGCUUAGCAAGUCGGGCGUGAAAGCCCUCGGCUCAACCGAGGAAGUGCACCCGAAACUGCUGAGCUUGAGUGCCGGAGAGGAUGGCGGAAUUCCCCAAGUAGAGGUGAAAUUCGUAGAUAUGGGGAGGAACACCGGUGGCGAAGGCGGCCAUCUGGACGGUAACUGACGCUGAGGCACGAAGGCCAGGGGAGCAAACGGG